Molecule: RNA transcript, 2507 nt
Organism: Prunus persica (peach)
Lineage: Eukaryota; Viridiplantae; Streptophyta; Magnoliopsida; Rosales; Rosaceae
Gene name: LRR receptor-like serine/threonine-protein kinase FLS2
Exons: 3
Source: RefSeq, a predicted model, not a curated record
AUGGGUAGCACUGUUGUCAGGUUUCUAAGCACUGCAACCUUAUUUACCAUUUGCUUAUUAUUAUGCAAUGCAAAUCUGAGUGCGCCUUGCAAACAAAAUGAGAGACAAGCACUUUUGAAUUUUACGCACGAUCUUGAAGAUCCUUACAGCAAUCAGCUUUCAUCUUGGGCUGGUGAAGGAGAUUGUGGCAAUUGGACGGCAGUUGUCUGUGACAAUUUAACAGGUCAUGUCUGCGAGCUCCACCUUGUCGGACAUGUGGACAUGUUAAGUGGUAAGAUAAAUCCAUCUCUACCCAAUUUAAAGCAUCUUACCUACUUGGAUCUAAGCAACAAUGAUUUUCGAAGAAUGCAGAUUCCUAGCUUCUUAGGUUCUCUCAAAAGUUUAAGAUAUCUUAACCUCUCAGAGUCGUUGUUCACUGGAUUAAUUCCUCAUCAAUUGGGAAAUCUAAAAAGUCUACAGGUUCUUGAUCUGCACGAUUCCUAUUUGGAACUGGAGGUUGAGAGCCUUCAAUGGAUUUCUGGUCUUUCUCAAUUGCAACACUUGGACAUGAGUGGUGCAAAUCUUAGCAAAGCAUCUGAUUGGUUGCGGGUGACAAACACACUCCCGUCUUUGGUGGAGAACUUGGAUAUGUCUUUUUGUGGACUUUAUCACAUACCUGGUGGUAUUGCCAACAUGACUAAUCUUAAAUUCCUUCAUCUCCAAACAAUCUCAUUGAGUCUGUCAGGGAACAAUCUUUCUGGCCAUUUAACAGAUAAGCUUGAUCAUUUUGAAAAGUUGCGCGCCCUUGAUCUUUCUCAUAACUCAAAAUCAGGUUCCCUUCCACUGUCCUUUGGCAAUCUGUCAUGCCUAGAAGUUUUGAGAAUUGGUGUUAAUAAUUUAACAAAUGUUGUCUCUCAACUACAUUUCACUAAUCUUACAAGAUUGGUGGAAUUUCAAGCAAGUGGAAACUCAUUGACUCUUGAAACUUGGCUUCCUCCAUUCCAACUUUCUAUUUUGCUUUUAAAUUCUUGGCAUCUGGAGCCAUCGGAAUUGCCCAUGUGGCUUCAGAGUCAAACGCAGUUGCAGUUUCUUAGCAUGUCCAACACAAGAAUUUCAGGUACCAUUAUGACUUGGUUUUGGAACUUUUCUUCCCAAUUAAGGUUUAUUGAUCUCUCUGAAAAUAAAUUGUUUGGUGAGGUUCCACAUAUAUUUCCCAGUUCGCAGUAUCAGGAUAUUUUCCUAGAUUCUAACCAGUUCAAUGGUUCAUCACCUCUUGUUUCAUCAACAGUAGAGAUACUAGAUCUUUUCCAACUCAUCGUUUUCUGGAACGCUCUUUCGCUUCUUCUGUAAUAAUAAUAGUGAACCGAAGGCACUUUCAAUUCUUCAUCUGGACAACCAUCGUCUAUCUGGAAAAAUUCCUGACUGUUUCAGAAACUGGAAAAACUUGGUAGUUGUAAAUUUAGAAAGCAACAAUUUAAUUGGGAAUAUUCUAAGGUCUUUGGGCUACUUGCACUGGAGCCUCAAAUACUUGCACUUGCGCAAUAAUCACUUGCACGGGGAGUUGCCUCCAUAUCUAAAGAAAUGUACAGAAUUGACUAUUCUUGACCUUAGUUACAAUAAGUUUCUAGGAAAGAUACCAAUGUGGAUUGGAACAAGCCUUUCAAUUUUGGCGGUUCUUAGCCUUCGUUCAAAUCAGUUUCAUGGCCACAGUCCGUACAAACUUUGCGAUCUCACAUAUCUCCGUAUAUUGGACCCUGCACAUAACAAUAUCUCAGGAAGAAUGCCAAGGUGUUUGUACAAAUUUAAGGCGAUGGCUUCAAACUCUGAAAUCUCUCAUUAUUCCUUUUAUUAUGGAAAUAAUUAUUAUUAUGAUAAUUCAUUUGAAGCUAACAAUAUAGAGACUGCAAUAUUGGUGUCGGAAGGUAGAGAAGUGAAAUAUGGAAGCAUUCUUCUUAGCUUGGCAAUUAGUUUGGACCUUUCAGACAACAUUAUCUCUGGAGAAAUCCCUGAAGAACUUACCAGCCUCAUCUACUUGCAGUCGGUGAAUUUGUCUUACAAUCUUUUGAGUGGAAGAAUCCCUCCCAAGAUUGGUGAUAUGAGACGGUUAGAAUCUCUUGAUUUGUCCAUGAAUCAACUUUGUGGUCAAAUUGCUCCAAGUAUGUCAAGUUUGACAUUUCUCAGUGCCUUGAACUUGUCCUACAAUAAUUUGACAGGCGAGAUUCCGAAAAGCACUCAACUUCGGAGUUUGGAUCAAACCAGUUUUAUUGGUAAUAAACUUUGUGGCCCUCCACUUGAAGUGAACUGCAGUAAUACCAACGGGACAGUGCCACCGGUAGCAGAUCAGAAACGGAGGAAGUGAUUUGUUUGAAGACGGUUGGUUCUAUCUGAGCUUGGGACUAGGAUUUCUGUUCGGUUUUUGGAGUGUUCUUGUCUCGUUGUUGUUGAACUUUCCAUGGAGCAUUGUCUUUUCUCGGUUCCUAAAUAGCAUUGUGAAGAAGCUUUAUGGGGUAAUUGUUGAACAUUUUUAA